RNAcentral lists this transfer RNA (88 nucleotides) under Deltaproteobacteria bacterium. Its description in RNAcentral is "tRNA-Ser". The record is from RNAcentral. Lineage: Bacteria; Pseudomonadati; Myxococcota; Myxococcia.
GGUAGCGUUGGGCAUGUGGGAAGCCCAUCCCGUUCGAGGCGGGACGUACCUUCGGGGCUUGCGCGUUCGACUCGCGCCGCUACCGCCA